CCUACGGGAGGCAGCAGUGAGGAAUAUUGGUCAAUGGGCGAGAGCCUGAACCAGCCAAGUCGCGUGAGGGAAGAAUGGUCUAUGGCCUGUAAACCUCUUUUGUCAGGGAAGAAUAAGGAUGACGAGUCAUUCGAUGCCAGUACUUGACGAAUAAGCAUCGGCUAACUCCGUGCCAGCAGCCGCGGUAAUACGGGGGAUGCGAGCGUUAUCCGGAUUUAUUGGGUUUAAAGGGCGCGUAGGCGGGACGGCAAGUCAGCGGUAAAAGACUGCAGCUAAACUGUAGCACGCCGUUGAAACUGUUGACCUCGAGACGAGACGAGGGAGGCGGAACAAGUGAAGUAGCGGUGAAAUGCAUAGAUAUCACUUGGAACCCCGAUAGCGAAGGCAGCUUCCCAGGCUCGUUCUGACGCUGAUGCGCGAGAGCGUGGGUA
Molecule: ribosomal RNA, 431 nt
Filed under: uncultured bacterium
Lineage: Bacteria
Description: bacterial SSU rRNA
Rfam family: Bacterial small subunit ribosomal RNA
Source: RNAcentral